RNAcentral lists this ribosomal RNA (266 nucleotides) under Streptomyces albosporeus. RNAcentral describes it as "partial 16S ribosomal RNA". It matches the Rfam family "Bacterial small subunit ribosomal RNA", at positions 385 to 663 of the family's 1533-position model. Lineage: Bacteria; Bacillati; Actinomycetota; Actinomycetes; Kitasatosporales; Streptomycetaceae. The record is from RNAcentral.
GAUGCAGCGACGCCGCGUGAGGGAUGACGGCCUUCGGGUUGUAAACCUCUUUCAGCAGGGAAGAAGCGAAAGUGACGGUACCUGCAGAAGAAGCGCCGGCUAACUACGUGCCAGCAGCCGCGGUAAUACGUAGGGCGCAAGCGUUGUCCGGAAUUAUUGGGCGUAAAGAGCUCGUAGGCGGCUUGUCACGUCGGGUGUGAAAGCCCGGGGCUUAACCCCGGGUCUGCAUUCGAUACGGGCAGGCUAGAGUGUGGUAGGGGAGAUCG